ACUCCAUGAAGCUGGAUUCGCUAGUAAUCGCGCAUCAGCCAUGGCGCGGUGAAUACGUUCCCGGGCCUUGUACACACCGCCCGUCAAGCCAUGGGAGUCGGGAGUGCCUGAAGUUCGUGACCGUUUAGGAGCGACCUAGGGCAAGACUGAUGACUGAGGCUAAGUCGUAACAAGGUACC
RNAcentral lists this ribosomal RNA (179 nucleotides) under uncultured bacterium. RNAcentral describes it as "partial 16S ribosomal RNA". It matches the Rfam family "Bacterial small subunit ribosomal RNA", at positions 1315 to 1500 of the family's 1533-position model. The record is from RNAcentral.